GUGACCUGGAACAAGAAGUAAACAAAUAAAACCGAAAUUGUGUAAAAACCAAGUGUUGAACCUAAAUACGAUUAAAAACCACUGAAAAGUCCACCUAUUUUCACUCAACAACAAGAUAAAACACUUUAAAACAUACAAACAAUUUUUUCAAGCAAUGAAAAGUUAGUUACAAGCUCAAAUAGAGAGACAAUAACACAAAAAGUGUUGUAAUAACAACUUUUAACAGGACCAUAAACCAUUUUUAAAGUCCACUUAUUUCUCUCAACAGGAACCAAAAAACAAUUUAAAAAUCAUAAGCAAUUUUUAGAAAUACAAAAGACGUAGUUAGAACGUGAAAUAAAAAAUCAAGUUUGUCAAAAUACUGCUAAAAAAACACCCCGCAUUUUCGGCAAGCAACACAAAAUUCAACACAACUCAACACAAGCCACGAAAAUACUUCUAAAGCAAAUAAUUAUUUUUAUAAACCAUAAAAAACAUGCUAUACCAGCAGAAUAAAGAAGUUAAGAAAAAAAUAAAAAAAUAUUGGAACCCACAGGUUGAAGCAGGUUGGCAGAGGUAGCCAGGCAUCAUGGCGGCCCUUGUCAGUGGAGAGAACGGCCGCUAUUUUGCCUGUUAUUCUUCCAUCGUAACUAAAUGAGAUAGUAAUUGACGAACACAACACACCACGUGGAGAGAAGCAAGGUGUGGAGUACCCAAGCCUCUCACAGUCCAUGCUAGUAGACUCACCCUGCAUGUGGAGAUCUCCCAAAAUGCACGGAGGUUAUUCCAGAGCUGCAGGACAGAGUACUUGAGGCCAUUGGUGAACAGAAAGCUGAGGUUGAACAAAGCCAAGAAUUGAUAGCUGCCCAAGGUGUAAGCAAGAUUCACAAUGAUGAGGUCAUUGUGACGUGUGCAAUGUGUCCACUGGUCUUGGCCUUCCUGACCAAGGCAGCCACACAAAGGAAAUUCCACGUUAUUGUUGCCGAACGUGCCCCUAAAUAUGAUGGUCACCCAGUGGCAAAAGCUUUAUGUACUGCUGGAAUUGAGACAACAUUAAUUCAAGACUCUGCAGUGUUCCCCAUCAUGUCACGUGUCAACAAGGUCAUCAAAGGUCAUCGUUGGCACCGAGACGGUGGUGACCAACGGAGGCAUUGAGACCUUUGUUGGUGCAGCCUCUCUUGCCUCACCACCAAAGUUUUAUUCUGUUCCACUGUAUGUGUGCACUCCCACAUACAAAUUUAGCUUGAUGGGCUGUGAAGAAAUAAGCCACCAAACCACCACUUCUAUUAUCCCAGAGGGAACAAAGUUUUGGCCGUCUGUAAAUACUGCGCUGACUCAGCUAGAUUACGUUCCUCCAGAAAAUGUCACCAGUUUGAUAACUAACAAUCGAGGUACUGCACCAUCCUACGUGUACCGGCAGCUUAGCGAACUGUACCGUCCCACUUCUUGUGUAACAAGAAGGUAACAGCUUUAAUCCUUGCAAAUAAGGAAUAAGAGAAAAGAGACACACCUGCCAUUUGUACUGUUAUGCUGUAGUGUUCUGUCAUUUUUUUCCUCUUUUAUCCUAGAACCAUUUUUGGUCAUUCAUGUUUCUAAAAAUUAUUAUACAAAAAUGUUGAGCUUAAUAUGUUUGGUGUAGUUUUUUGUAACAUGUGUUAUUGUUAAUGUGUGUGGUUCCCCUCAGGAAGAAUGUUGCAGUAUUAGCAGUAAUGUUACAGCCAAUGGAAGUGUCUGUAUUGUGCUUUGGUGGGAGGUUAAUUUGAUGUAUUUUUAGAGUUGUGCAGGAUAUUAUAGCAAGCCCUCAAAAUAAAGAAAAUAACUAUAGAAAACA
Long non-coding RNA from Scylla paramamosain (green mud crab), 1810 nucleotides. RefSeq lists it as uncharacterized. Lineage: Eukaryota; Metazoa; Arthropoda; Malacostraca; Decapoda; Portunidae. The transcript has 6 exons. The record is from RefSeq and is a predicted model, not a curated record.